GACGAACGCUGGCGGCGUGCCUAAUACAUGCAAGUAGGACGCAGUUGCGAACGGGUGAGUAACGCGUCGGUAACUGCCUAUUAGAGGGGGGUAACUAUUGGAAACGAUAGCUAAUACCACAUACUAGUAGAUGGACCUGCGUUGUAUUGGCUAGUAGGUAGGGUAAUGGCCUACCUAGGCGACGAUACAUAGCCGACCUGAGAGGGUGAUGGGGCACCCUGGGACGGGGGAACGGCCCAGGAGCCUACGGGAGGCAGCAGUAGGGAAUCGUCGGCAAUGGGGGGAACGCUGAACGAGCAACGCCGCGGGAGUGAAGAAGGUUUUCGGAUCGUAAAGCUCUGUUGUUAAGGAAGCGGUACUUAACCAGAAAGGGACGGCUAACUACGUGCCAGCAGCCGCGGUAAUAC
RNAcentral lists this ribosomal RNA (407 nucleotides) under uncultured bacterium. RNAcentral's name for it is "partial 16S ribosomal RNA". It matches the Rfam family "Bacterial small subunit ribosomal RNA", at positions 28 to 526 of the family's 1533-position model. The record is from RNAcentral.